CCCUUGGUCCUGAAAGAACUAAAGAACUAUUACAAUUAGCCUUUAAAAAGUCUUUGACCUUCUUCAAAGAGUUUCCUGUCCAUUAGAGAGACCUGGACUCCGUGGCUGAUACCUGGGACUGUGAAAUAUGCACUUGCCGAAGGUGGAAGAAAUCCUGUUAUGUAGUGUAUCUUGGCAUUUAAAAAUAAACACUGUCACGUCCGAACAAGUGGAAAAAAUAGCUCCCCCUGCUGCACUUGCGGCUCUCCUCUCUGUUUGCUGUCCAGAAGCUCUGCCUGGGGUUGAAACGCUGAAUGGUUCUCAGAUACGUCUAAAUGCAUUCCUUGCUGUGAAGCAAGAUGGAAACUCAUGGUCUGAAUUUCCUUGCAACAUUAUUAACUUUUUCAACUUUUUCUCCCAAAGGCCAUGACAGAAAAGAAGACAAGAAAUAAAGCAGCUCUUUUGGCAUGCA
Molecule: long non-coding RNA, 451 nt
Organism: Myotis brandtii (Brandt's bat)
Lineage: Eukaryota; Metazoa; Chordata; Mammalia; Chiroptera; Vespertilionidae
Exons: 2
Source: RefSeq, a predicted model, not a curated record